Molecule: ribosomal RNA, 568 nt
Filed under: uncultured bacterium
Lineage: Bacteria
Description: bacterial SSU rRNA
Rfam family: Bacterial small subunit ribosomal RNA
Source: RNAcentral
GGCGGCGUGCUUAACACAUGCAAGUCACGGGGGCUCGCAAGAGCAACCGGCGAACGGGUGCGUAACACGUGAGCAACCUACCGAUUUGUGGGGGAUANCUGGCCUAACGGCCAGGUAAUACCGCAUACGCUCUUUUGGUCUCAUGACUGAUUGAGGAAACCUCCGGGGCAAAUCGAGGGGCUCGCGGCCUAUCAGCUAGUUGGCGAGGUCACGGCUCACCAAGGCGACGACGGGUAGCUGGUCUGAGAGGAUGGCCAGCCACAUUGGGACUGAGAAACGGCCCAGACUCCUACGGGAGGCAGCAGUGGGGAAUCUUGCGCAAUGGACGAAAGUCUGACGCAGCGACGCCGCGUGGGGGAUGACGGCUUUCGGGUUGUAAACCCCUGUUGCCCGGGACGAACUUCUUCCUUUGGGAAGAUUGACGGUACCGGGUGAGGAAGCACCGGCUAACUCUGUGCCAGCAGCCGCGGUAAUACAGAGGGUGCGAGCGUUGUCCGGAAUCACUGGGCGUAAAGGGCGCGUANGUGGCGCGACAAGUCAGUGGUGAAAGCUCGACGCUCAACGUCGA